UUUCCCAAAUUAUGCCUUCCUUUCAUUUUUCCAACUUCUGCCUUUAUCUUAGGUGAAAGAUUCAUCGGACUAAGAUUUUUAUCUUAGGUGAAAAAUUCAACAGACUAAGAUUUCUUUAUCUUAGGUGAAAAAUUCAACAGACUAAGAUUUCUUUAUCUUAGGUGAAAAAUUCAUCAGACUAAGAUUUCUUUUAACCAUUUUCCUUCAAAAUUUGUUUUAUCUACCCACUAACUUGAAUUAUCUUCUUU
RNAcentral lists this long non-coding RNA (248 nucleotides) under Nicotiana tabacum (common tobacco). RNAcentral describes it as "long non-coding RNA (NTAB_LNC012068)". Lineage: Eukaryota; Viridiplantae; Streptophyta; Magnoliopsida; Solanales; Solanaceae. The record is from RNAcentral.